UGAAAUAUGAAAUAUCCAAAAUGUGCUUUUUUUCUUUCAUGAAAUAUAUUUUUGACUGUCAUUUCUUUCACCGUUGAUCCAGCAACUGAUGCUGAGUCGCCGAGCAAUAGGCGCAGAUCCCUGCACCACUAGAUAUUGGCUGUAUCUGGAUAUCUCGUCUCAGAGAACAUCCGCACGUUGGGCACUUGGUUCCCCAGCCCUUGUUGCCAUAGCCGAGAGCAGCUACCGGAGAUCCAAGCCCCAAUCGAUUCCCCAGUUACAACACCGCAGGGCCACCGGAGAACAGCCCUUGUCACGGGGACCGGUGACGGUCCACUCUAUUCGACGCAAUUCAAACACUAUAGCGAACUGCCGGUCAGGAGUGAUCCAGCAGCCUCCUCAUUAUUAUAGUACAUACUCUUCGCUUUGCACCGUGACAGAGGGAGAAAAAGGCGUGAAAGCUGUCGUUGGGAUCCCACCUGCGUGUACUCUCAAGUCAGGAACACACGUGACACCGUUUAUUCGGCAGUACAACAGCGAGGAUUAUUGGGUAAAACCUUAAAAAAACCCAAUAUUAAGCUUUUAUCGGAUAAUGCUCCCCUAAAUGAUUUUUACUUGGGUUACCACAAUUUUAUCGAUUUGAUGAAAAUGUCCUUCGCCUCCACCAGAAGCCUCUGAUUGCCAUCGCCGUCUCAGCCGACCGCCGUCGUCUCCGUCGACCCCUUCUCUCAUCACGAGCAGCGUCGCCCUCUCAUUCCUUCCCCUGCCCCUCCCUUCCCCUUUCUCUUCUUCACCCGCCGCCCGCGCUGCCUCCACUGUUGGGGCCCUCGUCGCCCGCCUCCCUCAGCAAGGCUGCGGCCACCGCGGCAACAUCUCCACCUUCCCUGCGAUCGAAGAUGGGGAGAUCGCUGCCUGCGCCGCCAUCCACCGCUCCCUCUUCCUCAGGAUCGAAAACCGGAGCCCUCUGGCCCCGCUCAUCGGACCCCGUCGAAAGGCAAGCGACGAGGGCACUAGGCAGGCUGUGAGGG
Molecule: long non-coding RNA, 1007 nt
Filed under: Musa acuminata (dwarf banana)
Lineage: Eukaryota; Viridiplantae; Streptophyta; Magnoliopsida; Zingiberales; Musaceae
Description: long non-coding RNA (MACU_LNC001805)
Source: RNAcentral